RNAcentral lists this ribosomal RNA (1211 nucleotides) under uncultured Sebacinales. RNAcentral's name for it is "eukaryotic LSU rRNA". Lineage: Eukaryota; Fungi; Basidiomycota; Agaricomycetes; Sebacinales. The record is from RNAcentral.
AAGGAUCAUUAAUGAAACUUCAAGUCGGCUGUUCUGUGCUGGUGGCAACACAUGUGCACGUUCAGUCGCAAUCCACACACCUGUGCACUUUGACUCUGAGCACCGCCGGUAACACGGCAGAAGGUUUGAGAUGAAGGUCUUAACCCGGUACUCGAGUAGUUUACACACUCUGUAUGUAAUAGAAUGUAACUGUACAAUGUACAACUAUAAACAACUUUCAACAACGGAUCUCUUGGCUCUCGCAUCGAUGAAGAACGCAGCGAAAUGCGAUAAGUAAUGUGAAUUGCAGAAUUCAGUGAAUCAUCGAAUCUUUGAACGCACCUUGCACCCUUUGGUAUUCCGAAGGGUACACCCGUUUGAGUGUCAUUGUAAUCUCACUCCAACACCUUUAUUGAUGUUGGAUGUGGACUUGGAUGUUGUCGUGUUCAACGACUCGUCUUAAAUGCCUGAGUGUACCCUGCUUUGCAGCGUAUCAGUGUGAUAAACAUCUUCACUGUUAAGUCUUUCGGGACACGCUUGUGUUGUAGGCUCUAUGCUUUCCAACCGUCCUCUGGACAAUCUCUGACAAUUUGACCUCAAAUCGGGUGGGACUACCCGCUGAACUUAAGCAUAUCAAUAAGCGGAGGAAAAGAAACUAACAAGGAUUCCCCUAGUAACGGCGAGUGAAGAGGGAAAAGCUCAAAUUUUGAAUCUGGUGUCUUUGACUCCCGAGUUGUAAUCUAGAGAAGUGUUUUCCGCRUUGGACCGUGCAAAAGUUCCCUGGAACGGGGCGUCAUAGAGGGUGAGAAUCCCGUAUAUGGCACGGACUACCAUUGCUAUGUGAUACACUCUCAACGAGUCGAGUUGUUUGGGAAUGCAGCUCAAAAUGGGUGGUAAAUUCCAUCUAAAGCUAAAUAUUGGCGAGAGACCGAUAGCGAACAAGUACCGUGAGGGAAAGAUGAAAAGCACUUUGGAAAGAGAGUGAAACAGUACGUGAAAUUGUUGAAAGGGAAGCGUUUGAAGUCAGUCACGUCUGUCGGAAUUCAGCCUGGCUUCUGCCUGGUGUAUUUUCUGGCUGACGGGUCAGCAUCAAUUUCGACCGAGGGAAAAAGACUUGGGGAAUGUGGCUGUCUUYGGGCAGUGUUAUAGACCCUUGUUGUAURUCUCGGUUGGGAUUGAGGAAYGCAGCGCGCCUUUUGGCCGGGGUUCGCGCCCUCGGUACGCGCUUAGGA